RNAcentral lists this unclassified non-coding RNA (353 nucleotides) under uncultured fungus. RNAcentral describes it as "partial internal transcribed spacer 2". The record is from RNAcentral. Lineage: Eukaryota; Fungi.
AACGCAAGUUGCGCUCUCGUGGCCACCCCCCGAGAGCACGUUCGCUUGAGUGCCGCCAUCAUCACUAAGGGUUUUAUACCUCCUCCUCGAUACUACACCGAGGGACGCGGGCCUCUUGCUGUUAUUUACCUAACGCAUGGCCUCAGAUGGUGCGCCGACCUCUAUCGAGAUUGCUUUCUGUGCAGCGCGUCGAUUGCAUGAGUGCGUUUAUUGCUCGCUCGGUGCUUAUGCAUUGAGUCGUGGUGGUUGCGUGAUUUUGCAAAUUGUUGCGCGUUUGUCAGAGUAGGGCGAUGACGGGUAGAAUUGCAUAUUUGACCGGCCUCAAGUCGAGCGACAGCACCCGCCGAAUUUAA